RNAcentral lists this ribosomal RNA (466 nucleotides) under uncultured bacterium. Its description in RNAcentral is "partial 16S ribosomal RNA". It matches the Rfam family "Bacterial small subunit ribosomal RNA", at positions 28 to 507 of the family's 1533-position model. The record is from RNAcentral.
GACGAACGCUGGCGGUGUGCUUAACACAUGCAAGUCGAACGGUAAGGCCCUUUCGGGGGUACACGAGUGGCGAACGGGUGAGUAACACGUGAGUAACCUGCCCUCAUCUCUGGGAUAACAGUCGGAAACGGUUGCUAAUACUGGAUAUGAGCUUGCAAGGCAUCUUGUGGGUUGGAAAGAUUUUUUUGGUUGGGGAUGGACUCGCGGCCUAUCAGCUUGUUGGUGAGGUAGUGGCUCACCUAGGCUUCGACGGGUAGCCGGCCUGAGAGGGCGACCGGCCACAUUGGGACUGAGAUACGGCCCAAACUCCUACGGGAGGCAGCAGUGGGGAAUAUUGCACAAUGGACGGAAGUCUGAUGCAGCAACGCCGCGUGCGGGAUGACGGCCUUCGGGUUGUAAACCGCUUUCAAUUGUGACGAAGCUUUUUGUGACGGUAGCAGUAGAAGAAGCACCGGCUAACUACGUG